GACGAACGCUGGCGGCGUGCUUAACACGUGCAAGUCGAACGGUAAGGCCCUUCGGGGUACACGAGUGGCGAACGGGUGAGUAACACGUGGGUGAUCUGCCCUGCACUUCGGGAUAAGCCUGGGAAACUGGGUCUAAUACCGGAUAGGACCCUGGGAUGCAUGUCCUGGGGUGGAAAGCUUUUGCGGUGUGGGAUGGGCCCGCGGCCUAUCAGCUUGUUGGUGGGGUGAUGGCCUACCAAGGCGACGACGGGUAGCCGGCCUGAGAGGGUGACCGGCCACACUGGGACUGAGAUACGGCCCAGACUCCUACGGGAGGCAGCAGUGGGGAAUAUCGCACAAUGGGCGCAAGCCUGAUGCAGCGACGCCGCGUGAGGGAUGACGGCCUUCGGGUUGUAAACCUCUUUCAGCACCGACGAAGCGCAAGUGACGGUAGGUGCAGAAGAAGGACCGGCCAACUACGUGCCAGCCGCCGCGGUAA
This 478-nucleotide ribosomal RNA is filed under the name uncultured bacterium. RNAcentral's name for it is "partial 16S ribosomal RNA". It matches the Rfam family "Bacterial small subunit ribosomal RNA", at positions 28 to 523 of the family's 1533-position model. The record is from RNAcentral.